UAUUGCUAUUUUAAAAACACUAUAUGAGAAGAAAACGAAGAUAUAAAACUCUGAUUUGUUGUUUGAGAUAAAAUCUGUACUUUAUUCAAUUGUUGCAAAAAGCAGGAGGGAAUCCUGCUGCAGCAUGGCUGUGGAUGGAUGAAGGGAAGAAUAUAAUGCAGAGUUACGUGCACCACAGACUUAUUAAGCUGUCUGUGAACAGAAUUUAAUUGGAAGACCACACAUUCUUGGACAGUGCAGCAACCAAGCCUGAUCCUGCUUUCAGAGGAAUUCAAGGCCAAUCUAAAUCGUUGCUUUGGGAAACAUAAGCUUAGGACCAUGGCGAACCAGCAACACGUUCUGAGACAAGCUUCUGGAGUCUCUUAAAUCUAUAGAAGUUUUUCUAUUGACUGCAUUCCUUUAAUUUCUGUCUAGGUUUCCUGAUUCAAUAGCCUAUCAACUGUGUAACUUUCCUUCCUUGUUAUGUACGUAGAAUGUGAUCAGAUACUUUAGUUUGUAAUCAUUACUUUCUAUACAUAAAUCACAUACAGAUGGUGUAUUUCAAUUUCUAAACUGUAGUGGUUUUUUUUUUCUGUUUCUGAAAACAAUGUAAAAUAUAAUAGCUUGCCUGUAUGAUUUUCAUAAAAGAGGAAAAAUAAAAAAAAAGAAACAAACA
RNAcentral lists this long non-coding RNA (655 nucleotides) under Anser brachyrhynchus (Pink-footed goose). Its description in RNAcentral is "lncRNA (ENSABRG00000009820.1)". Lineage: Eukaryota; Metazoa; Chordata; Aves; Anseriformes; Anatidae. The record is from RNAcentral.